RNAcentral lists this ribosomal RNA (503 nucleotides) under uncultured Gammaproteobacteria bacterium. RNAcentral describes it as "bacterial SSU rRNA". It matches the Rfam family "Bacterial small subunit ribosomal RNA", at positions 548 to 1050 of the family's 1533-position model. Lineage: Bacteria; Pseudomonadati; Pseudomonadota; Gammaproteobacteria. The record is from RNAcentral.
GAAUUACUGGGCGUAAAGCGCACGCAGGCGGUUUGUUAAGUCAGAUGUGAAAUCCCCGCGCUUAACGUGGGAACUGCAUUUGAAACUGGCAAGCUAGAGUCUUGUAGAGGGGGGUAGAAUUCCAGGUGUAGCGGUGAAAUGCGUAGAGAUCUGGAGGAAUACCGGUGGCGAAGGCGGCCCCCUGGACAAAGACUGACGCUCAGGUGCGAAAGCGUGGGGAGCAAACAGGAUUAGAUACCCUGGUAGUCCACGCUGUAAACGAUGUCGACUUGGAGGUUGUGCCCUUGAGGCGUGGCUUCCGGAGCUAACGCGUUAAGUCGACCGCCUGGGGAGUACGGCCGCAAGGUUAAAACUCAAAUGAAUUGACGGGGGCCCGCACAAGCGGUGGAGCAUGUGGUUUAAUUCGAUGCAACGCGAAGAACCUUACCUACUCUUGACAUCCACAGAAUUCGCUAGAGAUAGCUUAGUGCCUUCGGGAACUGUGAGACAGGUGCUGCAUGGCU